RNAcentral lists this unclassified non-coding RNA (315 nucleotides) under plant metagenome. RNAcentral's name for it is "partial contains 5.8S ribosomal RNA, internal transcribed spacer 2, and large subunit ribosomal RNA". The stretch from base 1 to 105 matches the Rfam family "5.8S ribosomal RNA", at positions 50 to 154 of the family's 154-position model. The record is from RNAcentral.
GAACUGCGAUAAGUAAUGUGAAUUGCAGAAUUCAGUGAAUCAUCGAGUCUUUGAACGCACAUUGCGCCCCCUGGCAUUCCGGGGGGCAUGCCUGUCCGAGCGUCAUUGCUGCCCUUCAAGCCCGGCUUGUGUGUUGGGUCGUCGUCCCCUCCGGGGGACGGGCCCGAAAGGCAGCGGCGGCACCGCGUCCGGUCCUCGAGCGUAUGGGGCUUUGUCACCCGCUCGAUAAGGACCGGCCGGGCGCCAGCCGGCGUCUCCAACCUUUUCUUCUCAGGUUGACCUCGGAUCAGGUAGGGAUACCCGCUGAACUUAAGC